CCUACGGGAGGCAGCAGUGAGGAAUAUUGGUCAAUGGACGAGAGUCUGAACCAGCCAAGUAGCGUGAAGGAUGACUGCCCUAUGGGUUGUAAACUUCUUUUAUAUGGGAAUAAAAUGUUCCACGUGUGGGAUUUUGUAUGUACCAUAUGAAUAAGGAUCGGCUAACUCCGUGCCAGCAGCCGCGGUAAUACGGAGGAUCCGAGCGUUAUCCGGAUUUAUUGGGUUAAAAGGGGGCGCAGGGGGAGUUUUAAGUCAGUGGUAAAAUCGUGGGGCUCAACCCCAGACAGCCGUUGAAACUGGGGAUCUAGAGUGUACGAGAGGUAAGCGGAAUGCGUGGUGUAGCGGUGAAAUGCAUAGAUAUCACGAAGAACCCCGAUUGCGAAGGCAGCAUACCGGUGCACAACUGACGCUGAGGCACGAAAGCGUGGGUAUCGAACAGGAUUAGAUACCCGAGUAGUC
This 459-nucleotide ribosomal RNA is filed under the name uncultured bacterium. RNAcentral describes it as "partial 16S ribosomal RNA". It matches the Rfam family "Bacterial small subunit ribosomal RNA", at positions 338 to 795 of the family's 1533-position model. The record is from RNAcentral.